UACGAAGGGGGCUAGCGUUGCUCGGAAUCACUGGGCGUAAAGCGCACGUAGGCGGAUCUUUAAGUCAGGGGUGAAAUCCCAAGGCUCAACCUUGGAACUGCCUUUGAUACUGGGGAUCUCGAGUCCGGAAGAGGUGAGUGGAACUGCGAGUGUAGAGGUGAAAUUCGUAGAUAUUGGGAAGAACACCAGUGGCGAAGGCGGCUCACUGGUCCGGUACUGACGCUGAGGUGCGAAAGCGUGGGGAGCAAACAGG
Molecule: ribosomal RNA, 253 nt
Filed under: uncultured bacterium
Lineage: Bacteria
Description: partial 16S ribosomal RNA
Rfam family: Bacterial small subunit ribosomal RNA
Source: RNAcentral